RNAcentral lists this ribosomal RNA (253 nucleotides) under uncultured bacterium. RNAcentral's name for it is "partial 16S ribosomal RNA". It matches the Rfam family "Bacterial small subunit ribosomal RNA", at positions 524 to 776 of the family's 1533-position model. The record is from RNAcentral.
UACGAAGGGGGCUAGCGUUGCUCGGAAUCACUGGGCGUAAAGCGCACGUAGGCGGAUUGCUAAGUCAGAGGUGAAAUCCUGGAGCUCAACUCCAGAACUGCCUUUGAUACUGGCGAUCUUGAGUCCGGGAGAGGUGAGUGGAACUGCGAGUGUAGAGGUGAAAUUCGUAGAUAUUCGCAAGAACACCAGUGGCGAAGGCGGCUCACUGGCCCGGUACUGACGCUGAGGUGCGAAAGCGUGGGGAGCAAACAGG